RNAcentral lists this long non-coding RNA (3994 nucleotides) under Homo sapiens (human). Its description in RNAcentral is "HSALNT0269485". The record is from RNAcentral. Lineage: Eukaryota; Metazoa; Chordata; Mammalia; Primates; Hominidae.
GGGGAAUUUGCCCUGACAGACACAGAGCCUGGGGCUGGAGAUUUUCUGAGAUGCCUCAGGCUCCUUCCCACAAAUUUCGCAUCAGCUUGAGCUCAGUGGGAGUAGAAUCUGCCACCGACAAACUCCUAAGAUGGCUUUGUUCAUUCCCACCUUCAUCAUAAAUCAGGUUGGGGUGGAGAAGCAAUAUCCCUAAGGGAAAAAUAAAAGUCUCCAAGCUAGGACUUUCAGCCUGGGGCCUGACAUUGCACAGAAAAUGGCCACUGCAGUCUCACAGGAACGCAGCCAGUCAAUGGUUUUCCUGAAACAAACUCUCAUCAUCUGAGAGAACCUGCAUGCACCUCUGCUCCCUGCACCCCAGAGGGAACCAGCAGUGUGCCCUGGGAAAAGCUGGGGCCCCACAGGUCCCAGUCUCUGAACAGGGUCUCGUAUAAAGAAGCACCGUCCAGCAACUAUUGCAGCAUUCACUGGCAUCUCGAAGACAGUAUCAACGAGUAUCUACAUCACAACCCGUAACCUCGCUCCUCAAGUUCCCUGUCCUCCCCUCCCAACCCCUGUACCCACAGCUGAUCGUGAGCCUCACACCCACCCACCUCCAGCAGUGCCAGAUUCACUCCUUACUUCCCCACUCUCUUCAUAUGGAGAGUGACAGCUUCCCUAGGUGGGUUAGAGCCGCUUUGGGCCCAUCUUUCUGAUCUUGUCUCUCUUGUUCCAUUCUCCAGUUUUUUGUUCUAAAAUAUCUGGCAAACACGUCAUUUUGAAUUAGUUUGGGGAGGUCAGGGUGCAGUUGGGGCAGGAACAUUUCCACAUUAACAAUUCUUGCUCUCACCAUGAUACUGAUUUUUUUUCUGGAGACAGAGUCUCGCUCUGUUGCCCAGGCUGGAGUGCAGUGGGGCGAUCUUGGCUCACUACAACGUCUGCCUCCUGGUUUCACACAGUUCUCAUGCCUCAGCCUCCCGAGUAGCUGGGACUACAGGUGCAUGCCACCAUACCCAACUCAUUUUUCAUAUUUUAGUGAAAACAAGGUUUCACCAUGUUGGCCAGGCUGGUCUUGAACUCCCAAGCUCUGGCAGUCUGACUGCCUCGGCCUCCCAAGGUGCUAGGAUUACAGCUGUAAGCCACUGCACCCGGCCAGAUACUGAUUUUUUUUAACCCUACUAUUUACUGGGCACAUACUACACAUCAGGCGGUGACCUCAGUAUUUUCCAUUGAAAAGAUCGUUUAAUCCUCAAAAUGAUUUCAUAAAACUGAUUAAAAUCCCUAAUUUAUAAGUAAUAACUGAGAGAGAUCAAGUACUCCAAGAAAGAAGGAAAAAGGGAGAGAGAGAAGAUCCUUGUGAUGAUGAAAUCCCUUAGACUUUGCCAUCUCAUCUUUCUCCUGCCUCCACACAAGGUCGUAGAAGAAAACAACAUGGACCACUUGCCAGCGUCUCUUUGAACAGAGAAGCUACUGCUGUCUAAGAGCCACCAUCCCCAAUCCCAGGCACAGGGCUUGAGGGAAACUUAUUUUCUGCCCCCACCUUCCUUAAAGGUGGAACUCAUGACUGAGACCUGAGCCUAUCAGCCGGUCACGUGAUCCUGGCCCAGGGCUAUUGGCUGUGGGAAGUGGAUGCUGCCCGCCCUGUUGUCCUGUGGGAGCUUGAGGGGAUGUACAUCUGGCAUUGCUGGCAGGCAUUUUGUUCCCAUGAGGGAAGAGUCUGGGAGAGAAGCAACCUGGUGGAGAGUGGGCCUAAGACACGGAGAGAGGAUGUUGAUGCCGUGAGUUCCCAAUCCCGCCGCGCCCGUCAGACUUACCCUCAGCUUUCCAGUCUCAGGAGCCAACACUCUUUCCUUCAGCCAGAUCAAGGUCCUUGUCACUUACAGCCAACACCACAACUGAUACAAAAGGGAAGGACACAAAACAAUUGUGGAGAAAGCCGUCUGGAUGGAGCCAGCAGCUUCGCUACCAUCGAGUGGCAUUUCCAGAGAGCAGAUGCACGCGGAGGGGUGUAGUUUGAAGGAAGACCUGGCGGGAUUUGCUAAUGAAUUGGAUAGCAGCGUAGUGAAAGAGACCCUCAGGAAUGACUUCCGGUUUUUAGGCUAAGGAAUUGCAAGAAUGGAACCAUGAACGGAGAUGUUGGUUUAGACCAGUCGCCCUCUGGACCAAGCUGCUGUGAGCAUGGAUUUAACAAAAUGUCAGCCCCACUGGGUAUGAUUUUCAAGUAUGAAUUCAAAACCUAUGGUGAGUUUCUACCAGUUUAAUCAAAAGUCCUUUUAUUUUGUUCUGGGUAAACACAGCUACGUCUGGGGUUUGCAUGCAAAGCAGUGGCUUUGACUUUCUUUUCGUUUUUUUGUAAAGCAGUAUUCAUCCAGUUAUGAGAAAACCACUUUUGCUUAUUGACCUUCUAAAAUGUCGGCAUUGUAAAUCAAAUCACUUGCAAAAAAUCCUCCAAAACAUAAUUUUUCAAAGCUUUCAUCCCUAAAGAAGUCAAUGUAUAAGGAAUAAGUGGUGAACGAGCCAGGGUCCUCUUCUCCUCUCUAGAGGAGGUAAAACGUCCUGGGCUGGGAGAGAGAGGAAGAGAAGCCAGAGGUUGGAUGGUGGGCAGCUUUUGAGAAGGGGUUUCAUGUUCUGCCCUUCCUGGGUCAGUUUCAUGGAAGGUCCCCAAUGCACGAACAAAUCAGAGAGGCCUGGAGCGGUAGGAGCUCAAGGGCAGAGCCAUGAGCUGCGUUCCGGCGACAGAGGAGACAUGGCUGGUUCGCGUCGUGUCUGCAUCUGAGCAGAGAGCUUGCCUCUGCUUUGUGAGUUUCUCCAGCCCUGAGUGGGGAGUGGAGCAGCCUCUUCCCCUACCCCACCCCUGUGUCCAGGGAUGCUCAGAAGUCCCCGAAGUAAAGGCAGACUUGGAGACACCUGGAGCCUGGGAAUGCGGGAGGGGAUGGACUGGAUGAUGUCUUUGUGAAUCUCUCAAGGAUGGGCAGGAUGUGGUCCAUCUCAGUGGAUAGUGGCCUGCAGCGCAGGUGACUGGCAGACAGGUGUGUCCCCAGUCUCCACUGCUGCAGCCGGCAAGGCCCUCUGGAAACCUUGCUGCAACCUCUGAUGGGAACAGCCCCGGUGGAUGGGAAGCUGCUGUCUGGAUGAAGAGUGAUUCAAGGAAGCUAUGGAUGGAGUUAGGGAAAUACAGCAUUGCAUUUCAUUCUGGGUCUGAUGCGUGUGCCUGACUCAGGGUGGGGCUUCUCUGGGACUGUUAAGAAGUGUGUAUGAGUUCUCUAUGAGAAUUUAAAUGUGCAUAUAUUUGGGUCCCUCCAAAAUUCCUAGGUUGAAGUCCUCACCCCUACUGUGAUGGAAUCAGGAAGAGAAGCCUUUGGGAGGUGAUUAGGUCAUGGAGGGUGGGGCUCUCAUAGAUGGGAUGAGUGCCGUUAUAUAAAGCCAGAGCAAAGAGAGCUCCCUUGUUCCUGCGUCUGUGGGAGGACGGCGCCACCCAAGAACCAGGAGGGACACACUCAGCAGACACCCAAUCUGCUGGUGCCUUAAUCCUGGACUUCCCAACCUCCGGAAUGAUGAGCAAUAAAGUUCUGUUGUUUGUAAGCCAUCCAGUCUGUGGUGUUCGGUUAUAGCAUCCUGAACAGACUAAGACAAUGUUUUGUAAGAGCCCAUUUGGGUUUCCUGGGUGGCCCACAGGAGCUAUGCAGGGGUUCUGGGGUCUGUGCCUUUGGGACUAGAUGACGCAGCUGUCAGAGCCUGUGGCUUGGCUUGGUCAGCGCCUGCCCUUCCCUCCAGUCUCCUCCAUCUUGGCUCCCACCCCUCCUGCCCCCACUGCUCCCCCAGCUCCAGAUUCUUCACCUUAUGAUGUUCCAUAAAGGAAUGCAGCUCUCCCCAGCUCAAGUCCCACAGCCUCUCACCUGAACUCCUGAAGGUGCUCAGCAGAACCCAGAGCCCUCCAUCUGGCAGGAUGAGUCCUCACUCUAGGAACCAUGGGAACCACAGACUCCACCUGAGGCAGCAGCUGCUGCGCACAGAGCAG